GAUGAACGCUAGCGGCAGGCUUAACACAUGCAAGUCGAGGGGUAACAGGAGUGCUUGCACUUGCUGACGACCGGCGUACGGGUGCGUAACGCGUAUAGAACCUACCUAUUACUGGAGAAUAGCCCAGAGAAAUUUGGAUUAAUGCUCCAUGGUAUGUUGAGAUCGCAUGGUUUUAACAUUAAAGAUUUAUUGGUAGUAGAUGGCUAUGCGUUCUAUUAGUUAGUUGGAGAGGUAACGGCUCCCCAAGACAUCGAUAGAUAGGGGUCCUGAGAGGGAGAUCCCCCACACUGGUACUGAGACACGGACCAG
This 309-nucleotide ribosomal RNA is filed under the name uncultured bacterium. RNAcentral describes it as "bacterial SSU rRNA". It matches the Rfam family "Bacterial small subunit ribosomal RNA", at positions 28 to 334 of the family's 1533-position model. The record is from RNAcentral.